Nomia melanderi (Alkali bee) is the source of this 1008-nucleotide non-coding RNA. NCBI's taxonomy places the organism in Eukaryota, Metazoa, Arthropoda, Insecta, Hymenoptera, Halictidae. The record is from RefSeq and is a predicted model, not a curated record.
CGGGUAACCGUCUUGCUUCUUCGAUCCUGCUGAUCGCGCAGACUUUUUGUUGUCGUCCUCAACAGAAUCACCUGCAUUCCCGUAGGAGUCCUCGUUCUCCUUGCCUUUCCCUUUCUCGUUUACGUUCGCGUCGACAUUCUCGUUUUCUUUGUCGCGACUCGCCUGCUUCCGUCCGAGAGCUUCCUGCCGCUGCGGCCACCGGUGCUUCACCACUUGCAAACGGUCGCCUAUCGACUCCCAGGAUUCCUCGCUGUUGCUACGUAUUCUCGGACACAGUGUCCCGCUAUCCGUGUACCUUGGUAACGGGUUAGACGUCUCUGCAUAAAUGAUGAAACGCGAGUCGCUGGAUUAGAAGAAGAAUUAGAAGAAGAAUUAAUAGAAGGGGUAGAAGUAGAAGAAGGGGGGAAACGAACAACAGAAGAAAUGUAAGGAGAAAAGAAAAGAAGAGAGGCACACAGCUACAGAAACAAGGUUACCGUGAUCAACUUAUGGAUAGAUCAUCGCGUUAAAGACAUCAAAGACAUUAAAGACAUUAAAGACAAUCUGUACCAAGAAGGUUGCAAUAGACGGUGUAAAACUUCACGCACAAGCGAACACAACACUGAGUAAACUCGAUUUUCGCAUUGUUCUACCUUCGGCUGGUGUAUAGUCAGUCGGUGGCUCACAAUGAAUGCGUCCGCUGCCCACAGAUUAAUCGACUCCGGUCCUAAGUGGAAGACUAACCGAAAAUAUGAAUGUCGAAGCAGAGUGAAAGAAGAUGAAGAAGAAGAAGAAGAGAGCAAAGAAUAAAAGACAAAAAAUAAUGAAACCCACCAGCAUCCAAAGACUUGGUUUCCCUACUGGCAGACACGGUGGACCUGCGCGGCUCCUGAGCCUCGGCUUUCGAUUCAAAUUCUCUUUUUCGAACGGCAACGUUUGGCACACUUCGCUUACUCGAGAGCCGCGACAGCUCGCUCUUGUAGAGGCUGGUCCGAUCGCCGGUCGGCUCGUCGUCGUCGCUCAGGAGCC